This 907-nucleotide ribosomal RNA is filed under the name uncultured bacterium. Its description in RNAcentral is "bacterial SSU rRNA". It matches the Rfam family "Bacterial small subunit ribosomal RNA", at positions 12 to 916 of the family's 1533-position model. The record is from RNAcentral.
UUUGAUCCUGGCUCAGAUUGAACGCUGGCGGCAUGCCUUACACAUGCAAGUCGAACGGUAGCGGGCCUUCGGGUGCCGACGAGUGGCGAACGGGUGAGUAAUGUAUCGGAACGUACCAUUGAGUGGGGGAUAACGUAGCGAAAGUUACGCUAAUACCGCAUAUUCUCUCCGGAGGAAAGCAGGGGACCGCAAGGCCUUGCGCUCUUUGAGCGGCCGAUAUCAGAUUAGCUAGUUGGUGAGGUAAAGGCUCACCAAGGCGACGAUCUGUAGCGGGUCUGAGAGGAUGAUCCGCCACACUGGAACUGAGACACGGUCCAGACUCCUACGGGAGGCAGCAGUGGGGAAUUUUGGACAAUGGGGGCAACCCUGAUCCAGCCAUGCCGCGUGAGUGAAGAAGGCCUUCGGGUUGUAAAGCUCUUUCGGCCGGGAAGAAAUCGCAUGGGUUAAUACCCUGUGCGGAUGACGGUACCGGCAUAAGAAGCACCGGCUAACUACGUGCCAGCAGCCGCGGUAAUACGUAGGGUGCGAGCGUUAAUCGGAAUUACUGGGCGUAAAGCGUGCGCAGGCGGUUUUGUAAGACAGGCGUGAAAUCCCCGGGCUCAACCUGGGAACUGCGUUUGUGACUGCAAGGCUAGAGUACGGCAGAGGGGGGUGGAAUUCCACGUGUAGCAGUGAAAUGCGUAGAGAUGUGGAGGAACACCAAUGGCGAAGGCAGCCCCCUGGGUCGAUACUGACGCUCAUGCACGAAAGCGUGGGUAGCAAACAGGAUUAGAUACCCUGGUAGUCCACGCCCUAAACGAUGUCAACUAGGUGUUGGGUGGGUAAAACCAUUUAGUACCGGAGCUAACGCGUGAAGUUGACCGCCUGGGGAGUACGGCCGCAAGGUUAAAACUCAAAGGAAUGACGG